Molecule: ribosomal RNA, 492 nt
Filed under: uncultured bacterium
Lineage: Bacteria
Description: partial 16S ribosomal RNA
Rfam family: Bacterial small subunit ribosomal RNA
Source: RNAcentral
AGUGAACGCUGGCGGUAGGCCCAACACAUGCAAGUCGAACGGCAGCACAGUAAGAGCUUGCUCUUACGGGUGGCGAGUGGCGGACGGGUGAGGAAUACAUCGGAAUCUACUUUUUCGUGGGGGAUAACGUAGGGAAACUUACGCUAAUACCGCAUACGACCUACGGGUGAAAGCAGGGGAUCUUCGGACCUUGCGCGAUUGAAUGAGCCGAUGUCGGAUUAGCUAGUUGGCGGGGUAAAGGCCCACCAAGGCGACGAUCCGUAGCUGGUCUGAGAGGAUGAUCAGCCACACUGGAACUGAGACACGGUCCAGACUCCUUCGGGAGGCAGCAGUGGGGAAUAUUGGACAAUGGGCGCAAGCCUGAUCCAGCCAUACCGCGUGGGUGAAGAAGGCCUUCGGGUUGUAAAGCCCUUUUGUUGGGAAAGAAAAGCAGCAGGUUAAUACCCCGCUGUUCUGACGGUACCCAAAGAAUAAGCACCGGCUAACUUCGUG